Molecule: ribosomal RNA, 2985 nt
Filed under: Caldalkalibacillus thermarum TA2.A1
Lineage: Bacteria; Bacillati; Bacillota; Bacilli; Caryophanales; Bacillaceae
Description: 23S ribosomal RNA
Rfam family: Bacterial large subunit ribosomal RNA
Source: RNAcentral
GGUUAAGCUACUAAGGGCGCACGGUGGAUACCUAGGCGCUGGGAGCCGAUGAAGGGCGCGGCAAACGGCGAAACGCCUCGGGGAGCCGUAAGCAGGCGUUGAUCCGGGGAUUCCCGAAUGGGGCAACCCCCUGUCCCUAAUCGGACAGGAUCCAUCUUCCGAAUCCAUAGGAGAUGGAGGGCACACCAGGGGAACUGAAACAUCUUAGUACCCUGAGGAGAAGAAAGCAACCGCGAUUCCCUGAGUAGCGGCGAGCGAAAGGGGAACAGCCCAAACCGGUGGGCUUGCCCACCGGGGUUGUAGGACGUCCCAUACGGAGUGACAAAGGACGAGGAUAGGCGAACACGUCUGGAAAGGCGGGCCAUAGAGUGUGACAGCCACGUAGCCGAAAUCUUCGUCCCUCCGGGACGGAUCCUGAGUACGGCGGGACACGUGAAAUCCCGUCGGAAUCCGGGAGGACCAUCUCCCAAGGCUAAAUACUCCCCAGCGACCGAUAGUGAACCAGUACCGUGAGGGAAAGGUGAAAAGCACCCCGGGAGGGGAGUGAAAGAGAACCUGAAACCGUGUGCCUACAACCAGUCGGAGCACGAUGCCCGUCAGGGCCGUGUGACGGCGUGCCUUUUGUAGAAUGAACCGGCGAGUUACGGUCUCGUGCGAGGUUAAGCCGAAGAGGCGGAGCCGCAGCGAAAGCGAGUCUGAACAGGGCGCAAAGGGUUCCCAAAAAAGUACUACUUUUUUGGGGUCCCUAGUACGGGGCCGUAGACCCGAAACCGUGUGAUCUACCCAUGUCCAGGGUGAAGGCAGGGUAAUGCCUGCUGGAGGCCCGAACCCACGCAUGUUGAAAAAUGCGGGGAUGAGGUGUGGGUAGCGGUGAAAUGCCAAUCGAACACGGAGAUAGCUGGUUCUCCCCGAAAUAGCUUUAGGGCUAGCCUCGGACGAUGAGUGCUGGAGGUAGAGCACUGAUUGGACUAGGGGCCCACACAGGGUUACCGAAUUCAGUCAAACUCCGAAUGCCAGUCACUUUAGUCCGGGAGUCAGACCACGAGUGAUAAGAUCCGUGGUCGAGAGGGAAACAGCCCAGACCAUCAGCUAAGGUCCCCAAGUGUACGUUAAGUGGAAAAGGAUGUGGCGUUGCUUAGACAACCAGGAUGUUGGCUUAGAAGCAGCCAUCAUUUAAAGAGUGCGUAAUAGCUCACUGGUCGAGUGACGCUGCGCCGAAAAUGUAACGGGGCUAAACGUACCACCGAAGCUAUGGAUCCGCAAGGAUGGUAGGGGAGCGUACCAAGGGCAUGGAAGCCGGACCGGAAGGACCGGUGGAGCGCUUGGUAGUGAGAAUGCCGGUGUGAGUAGCGAUAAGACAAGUGAGAAUCUUGUCCGCCGAAAGCCUAAGGUUUCCUGAGGAAGGUUCGUCCGCUCAGGGUUAGUCGGGACCUAAGCCGAGGCCGAAAGGCGUAGGCGAUGGGAAACAGGUUGAAAUUCCUGUACCACCUUUAGCCGUUUGAGCGACGGGGUGACGCAGGAGGGUAGGGUGAGCGUGCUGCUGGAAUAGCACGUCCAAGCCGUUAGGCUGAAGCGCAGGCAAAUCCGCGCUUCGUAAAGGCUGAGCGGUGAUGGCGAGGGAAACAUCAGUACCGAAGUCCCUGAUCCCACACUGCCGAGAAAAGCCUCUAGCGAGGCUAAAGGUGCCCGUACCGCAAACCGACACAGGUAGGCGAGGAGAGAAUCCUAAGGCGCGCGGGAGAACCCUCGUUAAGGAACUCGGCAAAAUGACCCCGUAACUUCGGGAGAAGGGGUGCCUCGCGUAGGGUGAGGGGUGACCCGAGCCCGAGGAGGCCGCAGUGAAAAGGCCCAAGCGACUGUUUAGCAAAAACACAGGUCUCUGCAAAGCCGUAAGGCGACGUAUAGGGGCUGACGCCUGCCCGGUGCUGGAAGGUUAAGGGGAAGGGUUAGCCGCAAGGCGAAGCUCUGAACCGAAGCCCCAGUAAACGGCGGCCGUAACUAUAACGGUCCUAAGGUAGCGAAAUUCCUUGUCGGGUAAGUUCCGACCCGCACGAAAGGCGUAACGACUUGGGCGCUGUCUCAACGAGGGACCCGGUGAAAUCGUACUACCCGUGAAGAUGCGGGUUACCCGCGGCAAGACGGAAAGACCCCGUGGAGCUUUACUGCAGCCUGAUAUUGGGUUUGGGUACCGCUUGUACAGGAUAGGUGGGAGCCGUGGAAGCCGGACCGCCAGGUUCGGUGGAGGCGUCGGUGGGAUACCACCCUGGCGGUAUCGAAAUCCUAACCCGCGGCCGUGAUCCGGUCGGGGGACAGUGUCAGGUGGGCAGUUUGACUGGGGCGGUCGCCUCCCAAAAGGUAACGGAGGCGCCCAAAGGUUCCCUCAGCAUGGUUGGAAAUCAUGCGCAGAGUGCAAAGGCAGAAGGGAGCUUGACUGCGAGACUGACAAGUCGAGCAGGGACGAAAGUCGGGCUUAGUGAUCCGGUGGUUCCGCAUGGAAGGGCCAUCGCUCAACGGAUAAAAGCUACCCCGGGGAUAACAGGCUGAUCUCCCCCAAGAGUCCACAUCGACGGGGAGGUUUGGCACCUCGAUGUCGGCUCAUCGCAUCCUGGGGCUGAAGUAGGUCCCAAGGGUUGGGCUGUUCGCCCAUUAAAGCGGUACGCGAGCUGGGUUCAGAACGUCGUGAGACAGUUCGGUCCCUAUCUGCCGCGGGCGCAGGAAAUCUGAGAGGAGCUGUCCCUAGUACGAGAGGACUGGGAUGGACACACCGCUGGUGUACCAGUUGUUCCGCCAGGAGCACAGCUGGGUAGCUAUGUGUGGACGGGAUAAGCGCUGAAAGCAUCUAAGCGCGAAGCCCACCUCAAGAUGAGAUUUCCCAUCGCGCAAAGCGAGUAAGACCCCUCGAAGAUGACGAGGUAGAUAGGUCUGGAGUGGAAGCGCAGCAAUGCGUGGAGCGACCAGAUCCUAAUCGGUCGAGGGCUUAACCAA